AACGAACGCUGGCGGCAGGCUUAACACAUGCAAGUCGAACGCGUGUAGCAAUACACGAGUGGCGCACGGGUGAGUAACGCGUGGAUAUCUGCCUUUUGGUUCGGAAUAACCCCGGGAACGUAGGGCGUAAUACCGGAGUGGUUCCGUUCGGGAGUAAAGAAUUUAUUCGCCAAAAGAAUGAGUCCGCGUACGAUUAGCUAGUUGGUGAGGUAAUGGCUCACCAAGGCGACGAUCGUUAGCUGGUCNGAGAGGAC
This 254-nucleotide ribosomal RNA is filed under the name uncultured bacterium. RNAcentral describes it as "partial 16S ribosomal RNA". It matches the Rfam family "Bacterial small subunit ribosomal RNA", at positions 29 to 301 of the family's 1533-position model. The record is from RNAcentral.